This 468-nucleotide ribosomal RNA is filed under the name uncultured bacterium. RNAcentral describes it as "partial 16S ribosomal RNA". It matches the Rfam family "Bacterial small subunit ribosomal RNA", at positions 28 to 507 of the family's 1533-position model. The record is from RNAcentral.
GACGAACGCUGGCGGCGUGCUUAACACAUGCAAGUCGAACGGAAAGGCCCUGCUUUUGUGGGGUGCUCGAGUGGCGAACGGGUGAGUAACACGUGAGUAACCUGCCCUUGACUUUGGGAUAACUUCAGGAAACUGGGGCUAAUACCGGAUAGGAGCUCCUGCUGCAUGGUGGGGGUUGGAAAGUUUCGGCGGUUGGGGAUGGACUCGCGGCUUAUCAGCUUGUUGGUGGGGUAGUGGCUUACCAAGGCUUUGACGGGUAGCCGGCCUGAGAGGGUGACCGGCCAAAUUGGGAAUGAGAAACGGCCCAGACUCCUAAGGGAGGCAGCAGGGGGGAAUAUUGCAAAAUGGGCGGAAGGCUGAUGCAGCAACGCCGCGUGCGGGAUGACGGCCUUCGGGUUGGAAACCGCUUUCGCCUGUGACGAAGCGUGAGUGAAGGUAAUGGGUAAAGAAGCACCGGCUAACUACGUG